AUAACUCACCUGUGUCAGGCUGCCAACAGCAGUAAGGAGCCAAGUGAAGCCAUUUGGAGGCGGACGGAGAGACAAGGACAAAUGCAUUCCCUUCAGCCUGUUUGUCAUUAGCAGAAGCACCGAACAAAGUCAUUUUUGUUGGAGAGUUAACCGGAUCAAAGCCAAAGCUCUCUAAAGAAAACCAACCCCAAACAGGAGAAGAGCCUGAGGGAUCUGGGGCUGUGCUGCUGAGAGAGGAGGAGCCUGAGAGGAGACCUCAUUCAUGUUGAUAAAGAUGUGCAGGUGCAGGACUCUGCACUGAUCCCUGUGGAACCUCAUCAUGCUCCUCUCUGCCCAGCUCUCAGCCUGUCCAAGUCUCACUGAAUGGCCACACAGCCUGCAGGUGUCUCAGCCAAGCCUCCCAGUUAAAAGGACACACAGCAGUGGAGCUCUUGACUGGAUGCAGCAGAAUAGAUGAAUAGGACUGAAGUUAUUGCAAUUAUAGUUAAAAAAACAAACCCCAAACUAACACAAAACAAACCAAAACCAAACAAACCCCCAAAAGGUGGAGAGGGGGAGAAGGAGGGGAGGAGGAAGAGGAGGAGCAAAUGCCUUUCUGCAAAGUAAUCCUCAGGGGUUUUCUAUGCUUGAAUUGCUGCACAGUUCCUAUAUUUAAAUGAUAUGAAAAGCCUAAAGUAACCAAAACCUAACAUAGUGAUAAAGCAAAGGAUUAAGUGAUUUGAGUAGUAAAGAGAAUAAGGGGAGACAGAGGAGCCCAGACUGAGGAAGCAGAGGAGGAAGAGGAAGAGUUGUUACUAACAAUCCUAAUUCUUAAAUUAAAGGGAC
Long non-coding RNA from Pogoniulus pusillus (Red-fronted tinkerbird), 825 nucleotides. RefSeq lists it as uncharacterized. NCBI's taxonomy places the organism in Eukaryota, Metazoa, Chordata, Aves, Piciformes, Lybiidae. The transcript has 4 exons. The record is from RefSeq and is a predicted model, not a curated record.